UAAGUUAAUAAGGGCGCACGGUGGAUGCCUUGGCACUAGGAGCCGACGAAGGACGUGACAAACGACGAUAUGCCUUGGGUAGCUGUAAGUAAGCGAUGAUCCAGGGAUUUCCGAAUGGGGGAACCCAACAGGUAAUACCUGUUACCUACAUCUGUUAAGGAUGUGAGGAGGAAGACGCAGUGAACUGAAACAUCUAAGUAGCUGCAGGAAGAGAAACCAAAAGCGAUUGCCUUAGUAGCGGCGAGCGAAACGGCAGAAGGGCAAACCGAAGAGUUUACUCUUCGGGGUUGUAGGACUGCAAUGUGGACUCAAAGAUUAUAGAAGAAUGAUUUGGGAAGAUCAGCCAAAGAGAGUAAUAGCCUCGUAUUUAAAAUAGUCUUUGUACUUAGCAGUAUCCUGAGUACGGCGGGACACGUGAAAUCCCGUCGGAAUCUGGGAGGACCAUCUCCCAACCCUAAAUACUCCCUAGUGACCGAUAGUGAACCAGUACCGUGAGGGAAAGGUGAAAAGCACCCCGGGAGGGGAGUGAAAUAGAACCUGAAACCGUGUGCCUACAACAAGUUCGAGCCCGUUAAUGGGUGAGAGCGUGCCUUUUGUAGAAUGAACCGGCGAGUUACGUUAUGAUGCGAGGUUAAGUUGAAGAGACGGAGCCGUAGGGAAACCGAGUCUGAAUAGGGCGCCUUAGUAUCAUGACGUAGACCCGAAACCAUGUGACCUACCCAUGAGCAGGUUGAAGGUGCGGUAAGACGCACUGGAGGACCGAACCAGGGCACGUUGAAAAGUGCUUGGAUGACUUGUGGGUAGCGGAGAAAUUCCAAACGAACUUGGAGAUAGCUGGUUCUCUCCGAAAUAGCUUUAGGGCUAGCGUCGACAUUAGAGAUUCUUGGAGGUAGAGCACUGUUUGGGUGAGGGGUCCAUCCCGGAUUACCAAUCUCAGAUAAACUCCGAAUGCCAAUGAAUUAUGGUCGGCAGUCAGACUGCGAGUGCUAAGAUCCGUAGUCGAAAGGGAAACAGCCCAGACCACCAGCUAAGGUCCCAAAAUAAUUGUUAAGUGGAAAAGGAUGUGGGGUUGCACAGACAACUAGGAUGUUAGCUUAGAAGCAGCUAUUCAUUCAAAGAGUGCGUAAUAGCUCACUAGUCGAGUGACCCUGCGCCGAAAAUGUACCGGGGCUAAAACAAUUUACCGAAGCUGUGGAUACCUUUAUAGGUAUGGUAGGAGAGCGUUCUAUGUGUGAUGAAGGUAUACCGUGAGGAGUGCUGGAACGCAUAGAAGUGAGAAUGCCGGUAUGAGUAGCGAAAGACAGGUGAGAAUCCUGUCCACCGUAAGACUAAGGUUUCCAGGGGAAGGCUCGUCCGCCCUGGGUUAGUCGGGACCUAAGGAGAGACCGAAAGGUGUAUCCGAUGGACAACAGGUUGAUAUUCCUGUACUAGAGUAUGUAGUGAUGGAGGGACGCAGUAGGCUAACUAAAGCAGACGAUUGGAAGAGUCUGUCUAAGCAGUGAGGUGUGAAUUGAGUCAAAUGCUUAAUUCUAUAACAUUGAGCUGUGAUGGGGGAGCGAAGUUUAGUAGCGAAGUUAGUGACGUCACACUGCCAAGAAAAGCUUCUAGCGUUUAAACAUACUCUACCCGUACCGCAAACCGACACAGGUAGUCGAGGCGAGUAGCCUCAGGUGAGCGAGAGAACUCUCGUUAAGGAACUCGGCAAAAUGACCCCGUAACUUCGGGAGAAGGGGUGCUGACUUAAAGUCAGCCGCAGUGAAUAGGCCCAAGCAACUGUUUAUCAAAAACACAGCUCUCUGCUAAAUCGUAAGAUGAUGUAUAGGGGGUGACGCCUGCCCGGUGCUGGAAGGUUAAGAGGAGUGCUUAGCGUAAGCGAAGGUAUGAAUUGAAGCCCCAGUAAACGGCGGCCGUAACUAUAACGGUCCUAAGGUAGCGAAAUUCCUUGUCGGGUAAGUUCCGACCCGCACGAAAGGCGUAAUGAUUUGGGCACUGUCUCAACGAGAGACUCGGUGAAAUUUUAGUACCUGUGAAGAUGCAGGUUACCCGCGACAGGACGGAAAGACCCCAUGGAGCUUUACUGCAGUUUGAUAUUGAGUGUCUGUACCACAUGUACAGGAUAGGUAGGAGUCUAAGAGAUCGGGACGCCAGUUUCGAAGGAGACGCUGUUGGGAUACUACCCUUGUGUUAUGGCCACUCUAACCCAGAUAGGUGAUCCCUAUCGGAGACAGUGUCUGACGGGCAGUUUGACUGGGGCGGUCGCCUCCUAAAAGGUAACGGAGGCGCCCAAAGGUUCCCUCAGAAUGGUUGGAAAUCAUUCGCAGAGUGUAAAGGUAUAAGGGAGCUUGACUGCGAGAGCUACAACUCGAGCAGGGACGAAAGUCGGGCUUAGUGAUCCGGUGGUUCCGUAUGGAAGGGCCAUCGCUCAACGGAUAAAAGCUACCCUGGGGAUAACAGGCUUAUCUCCCCCAAGAGUUCACAUCGACGGGGAGGUUUGGCACCUCGAUGUCGGCUCGUCGCAUCCUGGGGCUGUAGUCGGUCCCAAGGGUUGGGCUGUUCGCCCAUUAAAGCGGCACGCGAGCUGGGUUCAGAACGUCGUGAGACAGUUCGGUCCCUAUCCGUCGCGGGCGUAGGAAAUUUGAGAGGAUCUGCUCCUAGUACGAGAGGACCAGAGUGGACUUACCGCUGGUGUACCAGUUGUCUUGCCAAAGGCAUCGCUGGGUAGCUAUGUAGGGAAGGGAUAAACGCUGAAAGCAUCUAAGUGUGAAACCCACCUCAAGAUGAGAUUUCCCAUGAUUAUAUAUCAGUAAGAGCCCUGAGAGAUGAUCAGGUAGAUAGGUUAGAAGUGGAAGUGUGGCGACACAUGUAGCGGACUAAUACUAAUAGCUCGAGGACUUAUCCA
Molecule: ribosomal RNA, 2899 nt
Filed under: Streptococcus pneumoniae GA40410
Lineage: Bacteria; Bacillati; Bacillota; Bacilli; Lactobacillales; Streptococcaceae
Description: bacterial LSU rRNA
Rfam family: Bacterial large subunit ribosomal RNA
Source: RNAcentral